UACGUAGGGGGCUAGCGUUGUCCGGAAUCAUUGGGCGUAAAGAGCGUGUAGGCGGCCCGGUAAGUCCGCUGUGAAAGUCGGGGGCUCAACCCUCGAAUGCCGGUGGAUACUGCCGGGCUCGAGUCCGGAAGAGGCGAGUGGAAUUCCCGGUGUAGCGGUGAAAUGCGCAGAUAUCGGGAGGAACACCAAUGGCGAAGGCAGCUCGCUGGGACGUGACUGACGCUGAGACGCGAAAGCGUGGGGAGCAAACAGG
This 253-nucleotide ribosomal RNA is filed under the name uncultured bacterium. RNAcentral describes it as "partial 16S ribosomal RNA". It matches the Rfam family "Bacterial small subunit ribosomal RNA", at positions 524 to 776 of the family's 1533-position model. The record is from RNAcentral.